GAUGAACGCUGGCGGCGUGCCUAAUACAUGCAAGUCGAGCGAACAGACGAGGAGCUUGAUCCUCUGACGUAAAAAGCGGACAGGUGAGUAACACGUGGAUAACCUACCUAUAAGACUGGGAUAACUUCGGGAAACCGGAGCUAAUACCGGAUAAUAUAUUGAACCGCAUGGUUCAAUAGUGAAAGACGGUUUUGCUGUCACUUAUAGAUGGAUCCGCGCCGCAUUAGCUAGUUGGUAAGGUAACGGCCUACCAAGGCAACGAUGCGUAGCCGACCUGAGAGGGUGAUCGGCCACACUGGAACUGAGACACGGUCCAGACUCCUACGGGAGGCAGCAGUAGGGAAUCUUCCGCAAUGGGCGAAAGCCUGACGGAGCAACGCCGCGUGAGUGAUGAAGGUCUUCGGAUCGUAAAACUCUGUUAUUAGGGAAGAACAAAUGUGUAAGUAACUAUGCACGUCUUGACGGUACCUAAUCAGAAAGCCACGGCUAACUACGUG
This 497-nucleotide ribosomal RNA is filed under the name uncultured bacterium. RNAcentral's name for it is "partial 16S ribosomal RNA". It matches the Rfam family "Bacterial small subunit ribosomal RNA", at positions 28 to 507 of the family's 1533-position model. The record is from RNAcentral.